RNAcentral lists this unclassified non-coding RNA (328 nucleotides) under soil metagenome. Its description in RNAcentral is "partial contains 5.8S ribosomal RNA, internal transcribed spacer 2, and large subunit ribosomal RNA". The stretch from base 1 to 120 matches the Rfam family "5.8S ribosomal RNA", at positions 35 to 154 of the family's 154-position model. The record is from RNAcentral.
GAUGAAGAACGUAGCGAAAUGCGAUAAGUAAUGUGAAUUGCAGAAUUCAGUGAAUCAUCGAAUCUUUGAACGCACAUUGCGCCCGCCAGUAUUCUGGCGGGCAUGCCUGUUCGAGCGUCAUUAUCACCCCUCAAGCCUAGCUUGGUGUUGAGAACUGCUGUCAAGGCAGUCUCUAAAAUCAGUGGCAGUGCUGUCAGGCUCUAAGCGUAGUAAAUUCAUCGCUAUAGACACCUGGUGACCACUCGCCAGAACCCCCCCAUUUUUUAAUGAUUGACCUCGGAUUAGGUAGGGAUACCCGCUGAACUUAAGCAUAUCAAUAAGCGGAGGA